Molecule: ribosomal RNA, 500 nt
Filed under: uncultured eukaryote
Lineage: Eukaryota
Description: SSU rRNA
Rfam family: Eukaryotic small subunit ribosomal RNA
Source: RNAcentral
AGUGCACAAAACACCUGGAUGUUCAUAUAAGCUUUUAUACGGGCAACUGCGAAGGUCAUAAAACAGUUACAGUUUAUUCUGAGGCAUUCUUACAGGAUAACCGCAGUAAUUUAGAGCUAAUACAUGCGCUUAAACCCAACUUUGUGGAGAGUGUGGUCAUUAAAUACAGAACUAACCAGGCUUCGCCGGUCUUUGGGAUUUAUAAUAACCGAACGGAUCGCAUGGCUCCGCUGGCGAUGAAUCAUUCAAGUUUUUGACCUAUCAGCUUUCGACGGUAGGGUAUUGGCCUACCGUGGCAAUGACGGGUAACGGAAAAUUAGGGUUCGAUUCCGGAAAGGGAGCCUGAAAAACGGCUACCACAUUCUAAGGGAAGGGCAGCAGGGCGCGCAAAUUACCCCAAUCCUGACACAGGGGAGGGUAGUGGACAAGAAAAUAACAAUACAGGGCAUCCAUGGUCUUGGUAAUUGGGAAUGGAGUAGACUUUUAAAUUCCCUUUUACG